This is a long non-coding RNA of Haliotis rufescens (red abalone), 438 nucleotides long. RefSeq lists it as uncharacterized. The transcript is spliced from 3 exons. The record is from RefSeq and is a predicted model, not a curated record. Lineage: Eukaryota; Metazoa; Mollusca; Gastropoda; Lepetellida; Haliotidae.
CAACUUUCAAGAAUGGGAGUGGCAGAGGGACCACAACGGUGGAGACAUGAGGGGUUUUGAAGAGGCGACCGGACUCAAGAAUACUUAUUGACACGGUGAGUGAAGAGUCGUGCUAUUGAUUUUUUCCAACUGUUUUACAAUGAUUCUGUGUUUGAACAGAUUAUCUGGGCGAUGAAUGAGAAUGCAGCCUACACGUGAACGAGCGAUCACAACAACAACAAAGAUCAAUCUGUGAUAUCUUCCCUGUGAUGUCAUUCUUAUAGUAGCUGUGGUUCAAUGUUCAGAUGUGCAUGAAGAGAAUUUACCUGUAACAACUGGGAUUAGCUGUGCCGUCCAAGAUGACAAGACCACCGUGUUAUGUUUACCUUGUAUCUGUGAUUUAUUUUUGUGAUAUUUAAUACAUUUUGAGCUAAUUUUCAUUGUCUGUUAUCAUUUUUU